RNAcentral lists this ribosomal RNA (534 nucleotides) under uncultured Comamonadaceae bacterium. RNAcentral's name for it is "bacterial SSU rRNA". It matches the Rfam family "Bacterial small subunit ribosomal RNA", at positions 1 to 524 of the family's 1533-position model. The record is from RNAcentral. Lineage: Bacteria; Pseudomonadati; Pseudomonadota; Betaproteobacteria; Burkholderiales; Comamonadaceae.
UCGCACUAGUAGAGUUUGAUCAUGGCUCAGAUUGAACGCUGGCGGCAUGCCUUACACAUGCAAGUCGAACGGUAACAGGUUAAGCUGACGAGCGGCGAACGGGUGAGUAAUAUAUCGGAACGUGCCCAGUAGUGGGGGAUAGCCCGGCGAAAGCCGGAUUAAUACCGCAUACGACCUACGGGUGAAAGGGGGGAUCGGCAAGACCUCUCAGCUACUUGGAGCGGCCGAUGAUCAGAUUCAGCUAGUUGGUGGGGCUAAAAGUCGUCACCAAGGGCAGACGACUCUGUAGCUGGUCUGAGAGGACGACCAGCCACACUGGGACUGAGACACGGCCCAGACUCCUACGGGAGGCAGCAGUGGGGAAUUUUGGACAAUGGACGCAAGUCUGAUCCAGCCAUGCCGCGUGCGGGAAGAAGGCCUUCGGGUUGUAAACCGCUUUUGUCAGGGAAGAAAAGCUCCGAACUAAUAAUUUGGGGUGAUGACGGUACCUGAAGAUAAGCAACCGGCUAACUACGUGCCAGCCGCCGCGGUAAU